GAUGAACGCUGGCGGCGUGCCUAAUACAUGCAAGUCGAGCGAACGGACGCGAAGCUUGCUUCUCUGAUGUUAGCGGCGGACGGGUGAGUAACACGUGGAUAACCUACCUAUCAGACUGGGAUAACUUCGGGAAACCGGAGCUAAUACCGGAUGAUAUUUUGAACCGCAUGGUUCAAAAGUGAAAGACGGUCUUGCUGUCACUUAUAGAUGGAUCCGCGCUGCAUUAGCUAGUUGGUAAGGUAACGGCUUACCAAGGCAACGAUGCAUAGCCGACCUGAGAGGGGGAUCGGCCACACUGGAACUGAGACACGGUCCAGACGCCUACGGGAGGCAGCAGUAGGGAAUCUUCCGCAAUGGGCGAAAGCCUGACGGAACAACGCCGCGUGAGUGAUGAAGGUCUUCGGAUCGUAAAACUCUGUUAUGAGGGAAGAACAUAUGUGUAAGGAACUGUGCACAGCUUGACGGUACCUAAUCAGAAAGCCACGGCUAACUACGUG
RNAcentral lists this ribosomal RNA (497 nucleotides) under uncultured bacterium. RNAcentral describes it as "partial 16S ribosomal RNA". It matches the Rfam family "Bacterial small subunit ribosomal RNA", at positions 28 to 507 of the family's 1533-position model. The record is from RNAcentral.